GAUAGUGUGCACAGCGAUGGUUUAAGACACCAUCUCCAAGAACUUUAAGACCCACUUCAUGGAGACACUUCACAAGAUCCUUAAGCUCAUCAAUACUUCCAUAUCUGGAAUUCAAAUUAUAUAAAUCCUUUGGCAUGUAACCUUCAGGUGACACAGAUUCCGUUGGUGGGGGCAACCAAAUCACAGUGAACCCAAGGGAAGAUAUUUCAGCAGCUUUGUUUUUGAGUUCCAUGUACCAUCUUCCAGAUUUAUGAGAUUCCCAGUUAAAGCCUUGGAGCACUAUUUCAAACCCUGUGCCUGACCCUGAACAAAUUUUAGUAGGAGUCUCUUGACGCUCAGACUCUGAAACAGCUUCCUCUGCAAAAGUAGGGAUGGAACUUCUGAAGAUACUGUAGGCUUCAGCAGCC
RNAcentral lists this unclassified non-coding RNA (407 nucleotides) under Hevea brasiliensis (rubber tree). Lineage: Eukaryota; Viridiplantae; Streptophyta; Magnoliopsida; Malpighiales; Euphorbiaceae. The record is from RNAcentral.